RNAcentral lists this ribosomal RNA (116 nucleotides) under Chlorokybus atmophyticus. The record is from RNAcentral. Lineage: Eukaryota; Viridiplantae; Streptophyta; Chlorokybophyceae; Chlorokybales; Chlorokybaceae.
CUUGACUCGUAUUGUAUAAUGGGUACCACCCGAAACCUUUUCGAAUUCGAUUGUGAAAUCAUUAUACGCCAUAUGUAUUGCUAUAAUAAUAAGUGAGAGACAUGGUCUUUGUCAAG